UACGUAGGGUGCAAGCGUUAAUCGGAAUUACUGGGCGUAAAGCGUGCGCAGGCGGUUUUGUAAGUCUGUCGUGAAAGCCCCGGGCUCAACCUGGGAAUUGCGAUGGAGACUGCAAGGCUUGAAUCUGGCAGAGGGGGGUAGAAUUCCACGUGUAGCAGUGAAAUGCGUAGAUAUGUGGAGGAAUACCGAUGGCGAAGGCAGCCCCCUGGGAUAACACUGACGCUCAUGCACGAAAGCGUGGGGAGCAAAAGGG
RNAcentral lists this ribosomal RNA (253 nucleotides) under uncultured bacterium. RNAcentral's name for it is "partial 16S ribosomal RNA". It matches the Rfam family "Bacterial small subunit ribosomal RNA", at positions 524 to 776 of the family's 1533-position model. The record is from RNAcentral.